This 558-nucleotide ribosomal RNA is filed under the name Incilius marmoreus (marbled toad). RNAcentral's name for it is "partial 16S ribosomal RNA". It matches the Rfam family "Bacterial large subunit ribosomal RNA", at positions 1831 to 2594 of the family's 2925-position model. Lineage: Eukaryota; Metazoa; Chordata; Amphibia; Anura; Bufonidae. The record is from RNAcentral.
UCUUGAGUACCAAUAAGAGGUCCAGCCUGCCCAGUGACAAUGUUCAACGGCCGCGGUAUCCUAACCGUGCGAAGGUAGCGUAAUCACUUGUUCUUUAAAUGUGGACUAGUAUGAAUGGCACCACGAAGGUUAUACUGUCUCCUUUUUCUAAUCAGUGAAACUAAUCUCCCCGUGAAGAAGCGGGGAUGAAAUUAUAAGACGAGAAGACCCUAUGGAGCUUUAAACAACAUAGCACUUGCCCUACAAUAUAUAAAUUCCUGAAAAUUUUAAUUUACUGGCAACAUGACUAUAAGUUUUUGGUUGGGGUGACCGCGGAGCAUAACACAACCUCCACGUUGAAAUAAAUCUUUUUAAGCCAAGACUCACAAGUCUAAGCAUCAUUAUAAUGACAUCCAUUGACCCAAUAUACUUGAUCAACGAACCAAGUUACCCUAGGGAUAACAGCGCAAUCCACUUCAAGAGCUCCUAUCGACAAGUGGGUUUACGACCUCGAUGUUGGAUCAGGGUAUCCCAGUGGUGCAGCCGCUACUAAAGGUUCGUUUGUUCAACGAUUAAAAC